Molecule: microRNA precursor, 85 nt
Filed under: Petromyzon marinus (sea lamprey)
Lineage: Eukaryota; Metazoa; Chordata; Hyperoartia; Petromyzontiformes; Petromyzontidae
Description: microRNA pma-mir-456 precursor
Gene: pma-mir-456
Rfam family: mir-456 microRNA precursor family (bases 8-80)
Source: miRBase by way of RNAcentral
GUUAUGCCCGUGUGCAGGCAUCUUUCCAGCCUACACGUGGGGUCCUGAUUCUGCAGGCUGGUUAGAUGGUUGUCACAUGCAUGAC